UUUACACAGCCGAUGAUUGAUUGUGUUGUGUGUAAGACACACGAUGGUGAAGAACUGGUGGACUGUGCCAGGGCUUUUCAGGUAUCAACAGUAAUACGAGGAAAAUGUGAUAAAUAUCGUAUUGGACAUUUUGCUGCCUUUCAGAAAUCUGAUGAUAAUAUGGAGAUUGGAUGUAUCGGAUGUUUGUAAAGUUGCAUGUGUCUCAACAGCACAAAUUCUAAACUAUAUUUUAAAACUGUAAAACACUACAUAAGUGAAAAGUGGUUUGCUUACAUGCUGAAUUGAGGCUCAGUGCCUGAGUAUUUCAUAACGUUCUAGGCAAACUCGGUUCAGCUUUUUUGUGACACACAGCAUUUAAUAAAGCACAUUACAGAGCAUUA
This is a long non-coding RNA of Silurus meridionalis, 380 nucleotides long. RefSeq lists it as uncharacterized. The record is from RefSeq and is a predicted model, not a curated record. The transcript has 2 exons. NCBI's taxonomy places the organism in Eukaryota, Metazoa, Chordata, Actinopteri, Siluriformes, Siluridae.